This is a small nucleolar RNA of Thalassophryne amazonica, 140 nucleotides long. Lineage: Eukaryota; Metazoa; Chordata; Actinopteri; Batrachoidiformes; Batrachoididae. The record is from RefSeq and is a predicted model, not a curated record.
UGUGCACACUAUUAAAACCAGGCACUAAUGUCGGUGUUUAGGUGUCGGAAGUGUGCUAGAGUGAGUGGGCUAGGUUUUCGCUGACACCAUGAGGAUUGUUGUCCUAUGACUGGGGUUAGAUAGUGACCUGAGCCACAAUC